AUUGAACGCUGGCGGCAUGCCUUACACAUGCAAGUCGAACGGCAGCACGGGGGCAACCCUGGUGGCGAGUGGCGAACGGGUGAGUAAUACAUCGGAAUGUACCCAGUAGCGGGGGGAUAACUACUCGAAAGAGUUGCUAAUACCGCAUACGCUCUACGGAGGAAAGGGGGGAGUCGCAAGACCUCUCACUAUUGGAGCAGCCGAUGUCAGAUUAGCUUGUUGGUGAGGUAAAAGCUCACCAAGGCGACGAUCUGUACCUGGUCUGAGAGGACGACCAGGCACACUGGGACUGAGACACGGCCCAGACUCCUACGGGAGGCAGCAGUGGGGGAAUUUUGGACAAUGGGGGGCAACCCUGAUCCAGCAAUGCCGCGUGAGUGAAGAAGGCCUUCGGUUGUAAGCUCUUUGUUCAGGGAAGAAACGGUAGUUCUACUAAUACUGGAUACUAAU
Molecule: ribosomal RNA, 450 nt
Filed under: uncultured bacterium
Lineage: Bacteria
Description: bacterial SSU rRNA
Rfam family: Bacterial small subunit ribosomal RNA
Source: RNAcentral